CCUACGGGGGGCUGCAGUAGGGAAUAUUGCACAAUGGGGGAAACCCUGAUGCAGCAACGCCACGUGUGGGAAGAAGCAUUUCGGUGUGUAAACCACUGUCGAUAGGGAAUAAACGUCGGAUUCGUCCGGCCUGAAUGUACCUGUAAAGGAAGCACCGGCAAACUUCGUGCCAGCAGCCGCGGUAAUACGAGGGGUGCAAGCGUUGUUCGGAAUCACUGGGCGUAAAGGGAGCGUAGGCGGAACUCCAAGUCGGUCGUACAAUGCCGGGGCCCAAC
This 275-nucleotide ribosomal RNA is filed under the name uncultured Fibrobacter sp. RNAcentral describes it as "partial 16S ribosomal RNA". It matches the Rfam family "Bacterial small subunit ribosomal RNA", at positions 338 to 613 of the family's 1533-position model. Lineage: Bacteria; Pseudomonadati; Fibrobacterota; Fibrobacteria; Fibrobacterales; Fibrobacteraceae. The record is from RNAcentral.